This is a small nucleolar RNA of Grammomys surdaster, 131 nucleotides long. RefSeq annotates it as small nucleolar RNA SNORA17. NCBI's taxonomy places the organism in Eukaryota, Metazoa, Chordata, Mammalia, Rodentia, Muridae. The transcript has a single exon. The record is from RefSeq and is a predicted model, not a curated record.
AAUGCCCUAGAAGUAUUGUAGAUUGACUGCUGUGUCACAUGCAUGUCAGUAGGUGGGAGAGAGGGGAGAGGCUAUGCUAAGCUUGAGUUUUCUGACCUGUGAUCCUCUAAAUGUUUUAGUAGCACAACAUU